Long non-coding RNA from Hemibagrus wyckioides, 191 nucleotides. RefSeq lists it as uncharacterized. The record is from RefSeq and is a predicted model, not a curated record. The transcript has 3 exons. Lineage: Eukaryota; Metazoa; Chordata; Actinopteri; Siluriformes; Bagridae.
GGAGAGGAGUCCAGGUUUAGUGAUAAGAUGUCCUAAUCCAAGCAAAAUUCCUGAUGCCAGCAUGAAUCUUCCCUCUAGCUGAAAAACAUCCACUCAUACCAAGUCGUGUUCACUGACAGUGUAACAGCUCACCCAUGAUCUCCAGAAGACAAGGUUACUGGAUCACACCACUGUUUUGAUUGCUCCAGAUG